UGGGGAAUUUUGGACAAUGGGCGAAAGCCUGAUCCAGCAAUGCCGCGUGUGUGAAGAAGGCCUUCGGGUUGUAAAGCACUUUUGUCCGGAAAGAAAUCCUUGGCUCUAAUACAGUCGGGGGAUGACGGUACCGGAAGAAUAAGCACCGGCUAACUACGUGCCAGCAGCCGCGGUAAUACGUAGGGUGCAAGCGUUAAUCGGAAUUACUGGGCGUAAAGCGUGCGCAGGCGGUUUGCUAAGACCGAUGUGAAAUCCCCGGGCUUAACCUGGGAACUGCAUUCGUGACUGCAAGGCUAGAGUAUGGCAGAGGGGGGUAGAAUUCCACGUGUAGCAGUGAAAUGCGUAGAGAUGUGGAGGAAUACCGAUGGCGAAGGCAGCCCCCUGGGCCAAAUACUGACGCUCAUGCACGAAAGCGUGGGGAGCAAACAGGAUUAGAUACCCUGGUAGUCCACGCCCUAAACGAUGUCAACUAGUUGUUGGGGAUUCAUUUCCUUAGUAACGUAGCUAACGCGUGAAGUUGACCGCCUGGGGAGUACGGUCGCAAGAUUAAAACUCAAAGGAAUUGACGGGGUCAUAGCUGUUUCCU
Molecule: ribosomal RNA, 586 nt
Filed under: uncultured bacterium
Lineage: Bacteria
Description: partial 16S ribosomal RNA
Rfam family: Bacterial small subunit ribosomal RNA
Source: RNAcentral